UACAGAGGCCUCAAGCGUUGUUCGGAUUCAUUGGGCGUAAAGGGUGCGUAGGCGGCGCGGUAAGUCGGGUGUGAAAUCUCGGAGCUUAACUCCGAAACUGCAUUCGAUACUGGCGUGCUUGAGGACUGGAGAGGAGACUGGAAUUCAUGGUGUAGCAGUGAAAUGCGUAGAGAUCAUGAGGAAGACCAGUGGCGAAGGCGGGUCUCUGGACAGUUCCUGACACUGAGACACGAAGGCCAGGGGAGCAAACGGG
This 253-nucleotide ribosomal RNA is filed under the name uncultured bacterium. Its description in RNAcentral is "partial 16S ribosomal RNA". It matches the Rfam family "Bacterial small subunit ribosomal RNA", at positions 524 to 776 of the family's 1533-position model. The record is from RNAcentral.